ACUGGAUUUUCAUCAUUUUAAAAAUGGACAAACAGUGAUUUUUGUGGCAUGGAUUAGACCUAAAUGGAAAGAGCAGUCUGAUGCUCAUAAAACAAUGUGGUCAUUGUGAGCCCUUUGGGACUGCUGAUUCUGCCACUUACCAGCAAAAUAGUCUUUUGAAAGUCAUUUAAGUUCUUUGAGAUCAAUUUGCCUCAUCUGAAAACUGGGGGAAAUAACUAUUGUCUAAACAUAUUGAUCAGUAAGUGUUAAUUCUCUCCCAAUCCAUAAUAAGAAAUUUAUUCCAACACAAAGUUAUUGUUUUCAUUAGAUAAUAAGUCAGUUUACCUUUUGGAGGAUGAAGUGGCACAACAGAUAAAGAUCCUAGUGAUCUGACAUCAACGGGAUGUUGAGGAAAUUUCAAAAUUGAUGAGACUGUCUUUAUUCCUCAUGUUUGUUUAACUUGAGUCUGAGCUUCCCAAGUGAGUUUCUCCAUGUGAUAUAAAAAUGUGGCCGCUUAGAGUUCCCCAGAAACACCAUCUGGGAUGCCACAUAUGUUAGUGGAAUUUGGGGUGUCAUAUGAUAUCACCAUAUGCUUAUUAAUAAGUCCCCAAUAUUAAUAAUCCCAAGAGGGUUCUUGCCUAAUAUUUAGAGAAGAAUUCUAAAUACCAGCAUAAAUGAGCAAGGCAGCAUGGUACAUUUUAAGCCUUUAUUUAAUGAGAAAGAUGCAUAGGAGAUUGAGAGCUUUAUCUAAGAGAGGGAGGGAUAAAUCUGAGUUCAUACCAAGCACCAGGAACCAGCCACGUGGAGGAGCAUCUAGGCCAGGAAGCCUAGGGCGGGUGGCCUAAAGGCCAUGUGCCCUGAAGGUGCAGUGCUACGGCCAACUUCCUCCUGGCAAGAGGCCAGGGAAAAGAGAAGAGAAGGAGACACACUGUGUCCCAGGCUUUUAGCCCACUUCCAAAGGGGAGUGGUUAAUUAACCUGAUUGGUGGUCACCCAGAUGUGGCCAGGGAGGAGCGUGAGGUCACACAGGGGGUGGCAAAGGUAUCAGGUAGGGAGUGAGGUCACACAGGGGCGUGGCAAAGGCGUGGUCUUCCAGCUCACAAACCCAACUGAUUUUAACCUGUAUGCCUGCCUACUUCACAUGAGCUCAUAUUUAACCAAAACUGCAGCAUGUAUUAGUCUGAGAAGUUGAGAGAUUAGAUAGAGUGCUUCAGCUUGUGGACAGUAGAGUCUAUCUCCUGGACUUUAAUUCUUCCUGCAUCAAUGAGCUGUCACAGAGCCUGGCCCCGGUGGAGAAGAAAGAGGGAAUGAUGGUCUCCUUGUCCUUGUGGGAAGGAUGGCAGAUACAUCCCAAUGCCUAAAGAAGAAUAGACAUCCUUCCCAAACUUGAAAUGUGUUUGCCAGAGACAACUUAUACAGCUGGAGUCACAGAAGGCAAACUCACUCACAUCCCUCUGCAAUGAGGAAGGAAAACAAAUCUAUACCAGUAAACAAUAAUUUCAUUUCACAGAACCUGCGUGUGAGUUACUGACACUUCACUGCCAUGAUUUAAUUAAUGAAGUCAAUUAAUGCAGUCUGUGCUUUGCAGUGCCAUCAAUAGGAACUAAAUUAGCCUUUUGGAAAGAUGUUUAUAGGCUUUGCUGAUUUUAGGAAAAAGAGCCUACUGAUAAGGGCAACUGCUUGUGGGAAAUGGUUUGCACCCAAAUAGCAAUGAGGCGUAAGAUUGAACAGAUGUUUCUCCAUCUUCUUAUUGCCUAGAAUAUGGAGUGGUGCUAAUCACUUGCGUUCAUACUAGUGAAGUCUGAAGUAUAGUCACAAGAAGCUGUCACAAGCCUGCAGUGGCAUUCCAUGGCUGCAGGGCACAUGUUUUUUUCAGUCAUUGGCAUCUCAUAUGUCUUAGUAAUUAAUUUUAAAAACAAUAAAUGGCCAAUAGAUAAAAUUUAAUCAACUUAGAGAAUACAUCAAAAUCACUAUAAAGCAUCUUAUAAUUAUUCCAGUUAUUAUUUUUGUUUGGUAUUGGGGAAAGCAAAAAACAGAAGGGAAAUAUAGGAUCUCCUAUUUUAGAUGACAGAAUUUUUAGCUGCAGUCUAUCUAGAGGACUUCUCUGAGUAUUUUCUUCCUCUCUCCAUGUUUUUGUGUGGCAAAACUAUAGCAGAAAUGACACAGAAUGGCUUCCAAUUAGGAUGUCCUCACAUGGGUUGUGUGACUUUAGGGAACUUAUCUUGGGUGAGUUGAUGAAGAGUAAAUCAAUAUCAUAUGUGAUAAAUUUGUUGUAAUGCAAAAGUUAAAGUACCAUAUAAUAUAUUAGAGUCCAUAAAUUUACUAAUUUGCAAGGAGUUUAAAGAGGCAGAAAAUAUAUAGAUUGGCUGCAAGACUGCUUUUGAUUUUCUGAACAUGAUAAUGUGAAAAGGAGAAUCUGCGCCUUACUUUAAGAAAACACCAUAGAGAAUAUUAAAUAAAUACUAACUUUCCUCCUUGCACAUUAAGAAAUCAGGCAGCAGAGAGCAACUCAGCAAACAUUCAAGCAGAUUGUAGAUUCUUCAUAUUUAUUUAUAAGACACUUCCUUUCUAGUGUGAGCAUGUAAAAUCCAAUGUACAAAGAUCAAAACAUCCUGGUCAGAGAUAUGUGUAUAUGUCCUGUGGCCUUUAUUUCUUAUGUUAGCUUUACAAAUAAAAUGAGAUGGGUCAUGGUUUCUGUUCUGUAAUCCAGAUACAACCAGUCAUGUUUGAUGACAUCAAUAAAGAGCAUAUUGAAAAAAUUAUGUCUAUUUGAUAUUAAAAGAAUAUUUCUAGCACAAUAAAGAGUUAAACACCCAAGAAAACUGAUUCCAUAUUAUCACUAUGAAGCCUAUUUCAAUUUUUACCACACGAGGCAUAAGGUUUUGUAGAAACUUGUGCUGUUUGUUUUUAACAGGAAAUGGAGAUGCAGAGAGAGUUUUUGCGGUAAUAAUGUGCUCUACAUAUGCAAAAAUUAUUUUCUUCCUAACAUAGCUGUGCUAGUUUGCUUCAUUCAUACCCAUUGGUUGUAGCCAAAGAAAUCAGUCAAAUAAAAGCUGGUAGAGAUUAGACUUAGAAAUAUGGAAAUUAGUAGAAAUUUAGGGUUUCUGAAGAUAGUGACAUGAGAAAAUUAUCUAUUUAGAUUAACAAAUAUUUUAUACAAUAUAUGAUAGCUAUUAAUAUCUUUAUUUAUAAAUUACAUAUGCCCCAGAUUGGGUGAAGUAUGGGUACAAUGCAUAGAUAGCCAGAUAAAUGAUACAAAAACAUUCUCUGUAGGAGAUGUAAAAUUUUGACCCAGAUGGGAAUGACUUUUCAGCCCUCCAUAUGCUUAUCUCUAAGAAUCUUCAUUCAGGGAUUCUUGGUAUGGAUGCUGAGACUUGCUUCUUAAAUCUGAACCAUGUUGAGUGUCUUUCCCUAUCUAUGGCCCUACUUUUGUGUGCUUCUUUUGUAAUAAGUCUCUUAGCUCUUCCAUUUCAGAAUUCCUGGGCAGUCAAAAAGAGUUUUUCUUUCAAAAUUAUUGGAACAUUCUUUGCCACAACUGUUUAAAACAAUGUUAAUUGUUUUUCUCAUUAACAAAUAAAUGUAAAUAGCAAAACCCACCAUUGUAUCGCACACUUCCUGUGUUUUGGGCAGGUACUUUAGUUAAUUACCUCAUUGGGUUUUCAUCCCAAUUUUAACAGAAAGAUAUUAUUAUGGCUGUUUCAAUUGAGCAUACUGAGAUUAUUGAAUAAUGUUAUAGCUGUAGUGUUGUGACGUGGUCAUUAUUUUUUGAGUCUGGAAGGAGCUGGUCGGGGAGACUUGGAAUGAUUUAGUUUACUCCUUUAUAUAGAGCAGAACAAUGUUUCAGAGUUAGAAAGUGAUUUGACAAAGAGCUAGGUGGAGUAUGUGUUGGGGCCAGGAACAAAAUUCAGGACUCUAACUGCUGACCCACAGUCCUUCUGUGAAGCUAGGCUACCUCAUGAAAUAAAAUGACAACAUGCCUACCGCAAUAUGAUCACCUUUAGGUCCCUGAGCUACUGAUAUUUUGCCGGUAUUACUGUGGCUCCCUGUAACCUGGCCCAAGAAGAGGAGAAAGGAUUUGAGGAUAUGGGGUUAUCCUUUCUGGAUUAGAGCCGACCUGUGCCUCUGCACCCAGGCCUCUCUGUCAGACAGAGGCUGGCUGAUAUCCCCACAGGAAGAAUUGUUCAGAAUAGCUAUAGGCUAAUAAAUAGAACGUCUGGUAAAGCACAUUAAAGAAAAGAUAUACAAUGCAGGAGCAUGUUAGGAAAGUAAGUGAGCACUUUGCUUCUCCACUUAUCUGACCUCUUAUCUCCCAUGUUAAUGUCUCAGCCUCCAGAUUAAAUGAUGCAAAUGCUAGAUGCUGGACAAAAUGUCCCAAACACUCUCACCACCAUCCACUCGGGAGGAACUUGGGACUGGCGUCUGUGACAGGAAGACCGUGUGUGAUCCCUGUCCACUUCUUGGGUCUAGAUGUCUACACUAACCCACAUUCCAUUCUACCACCUUCUCAUUGUUGGACCAUCCAUAAAAUAGUUUUUUUUGGCUAUUUGGACUUCAAAGGUUAGAGAUCAGCAGGGUUCAGGUGAGAGCUGUGGAGGUAGUGAGGUAGAGAAGCGAAGUGAGAGUUGUUACACAAGGAAAGGAAAGCAAAACUUCAACAUCAUUUCCUCUGUGUCCCCAUGACUGAAGCUGGAUUCCUUCACACAUCUGCAAUUCACUGCCACCCCCACUGUGUUUAGUCUUUCAUUCAUCCCAUAGACUGACUUUUCUUCACAUCCCUUCAUUUCUCUGAUUAUUAUCCACCUUCCCUUGUUUUAUUCUGCCCAGUUUGAUUAUAUAGUUUU
This is a non-coding RNA of Oryctolagus cuniculus (rabbit), 4819 nucleotides long. NCBI's taxonomy places the organism in Eukaryota, Metazoa, Chordata, Mammalia, Lagomorpha, Leporidae. The record is from RefSeq and is a predicted model, not a curated record.